AUGCUCCAUAGAAAUGAUUUUUUUCUUCCUGACUAUACUUGUGUACUUUGUGGCCUGCAGGCUUUGGAAGCUAGGGACCAUCUUUUUUUUCACUGCCCUUUUGCCAAGGUAUGCUGGACAUAUCUCCGCCCCACUUGGACUCCAAGCUUCCAAGGCAUACAACAAGAGCCCAACAGAUUAAAAGACAUUUUGGGAGUCCCAUUCUCUCUUGAGAUUAUCAUUUUGGCUGGAUGGGCAAUUUGGAUCACCAAAAAUGGUUUUAUAUUCAAGGGUAUAGCACCUAAUCUCUACAGAUGCAGGAAGACGUUCAAGGAGGAAUUGAAUUGUCUGGUGCACAGAGUUAACAGGAAAGAGUUUGUGAACCUUGAAGAGUGGGUCAAAGCCUUCAGAUGA
RNAcentral lists this ribosomal RNA (393 nucleotides) under Triticum aestivum (bread wheat). Its description in RNAcentral is "partial small subunit ribosomal RNA". The record is from RNAcentral. Lineage: Eukaryota; Viridiplantae; Streptophyta; Magnoliopsida; Poales; Poaceae.